ACUCGAGUGGCGAACGGGUGAGUAACACGUGGGUGAUCUGCCCUGCACUCUGGGAUAAGCCUGGGAAACUGGGUCUAAUACCGGAUAGGACCAUGCUUUAGUGUGUGUGGUGGAAAGUUUUUCGGUGUAGGAUGAGCCCGCGGCCUAUCAGCUUGUUGGUGGGAUAAUGGCCUACCAAGGCGGCGACGGGUAGCCGGACUGAGAGGUUGGUCGGCCACAUUGGGACUGAGAUACGGCCCAG
RNAcentral lists this ribosomal RNA (241 nucleotides) under uncultured Actinomycetales bacterium. RNAcentral describes it as "partial 16S ribosomal RNA". It matches the Rfam family "Bacterial small subunit ribosomal RNA", at positions 89 to 334 of the family's 1533-position model. The record is from RNAcentral. Lineage: Bacteria; Bacillati; Actinomycetota; Actinomycetes; Actinomycetales.